This 69-nucleotide transfer RNA is filed under the name Jenkinsia sp. CL54. Its description in RNAcentral is "tRNA-Asp". Lineage: Eukaryota; Metazoa; Chordata; Actinopteri; Clupeiformes; Clupeidae. The record is from RNAcentral.
GAGGUGCUAGUAAAAUGAUUACCCUGCCUUGUCGGGACAGAAUUGUAGGUUCAACCCCUGCGCCCCUUA